RNAcentral lists this long non-coding RNA (296 nucleotides) under Nicotiana benthamiana. RNAcentral's name for it is "long non-coding RNA (NBEN_LNC018286)". Lineage: Eukaryota; Viridiplantae; Streptophyta; Magnoliopsida; Solanales; Solanaceae. The record is from RNAcentral.
CAUAAUGCACAAAGAUGGAUUCUCAAAGUUGAGGAAACAAGUUAGUUUUUCUAACAUGAGAGGGAGACAUGAUAAACAGUUGAGAAAACGUUAUGUAGAAUGAAUUAUCAUUUGUAUAUCUAGAUUCUCGAAUAGGAUAAUAUGAACUUGAAGUUCAUAAAAAAGAUAAUCCAUCUGCAAUAUAUUACAAAGUAUGCUAGACGCUUUUUGCUGGCCCAAAUAAAGUAACUAUGUUCUCAUUGCAAAUGCUCAUAUUAAGUCCUAGAAGGACAAAAUCUAUGAUACGCUUAAAGCGU